GUGCUACUCCCUCCGAUCCAUAUUACUUGUCGAAAUAUUACAUGUAUCUAGACGCUUUUUAGGCAUACAUACAUCCAUAUUUGGGCAAAUUUGAGACAAUUAAUAUGGAUCGGAGGGAGUACUAC
Non-coding RNA from Brachypodium distachyon (stiff brome), 125 nucleotides. The record is from Rfam. NCBI's taxonomy places the organism in Eukaryota, Viridiplantae, Streptophyta, Magnoliopsida, Poales, Poaceae.